GAUAGUUUUGCAAAAGAAAACUGACGCCAGAAUUGAAGUUAUUAUUCUAUCUUGUCACCAAGAUCUUGCUGAGGCUACAACAACUUCCCAGUUGAUUAUAUGUACAUCUUAAACUGUGUACAAAUUACAAAUUGAAAACAGUUCGUAAUGUAACAAACAUCUUGAUGGUUUUAUGUUAGCUGUAAAGAAAUCAGUUGUUCAUUCAUGCGAGAGGAAAUUUCAAACUCCUAGAAAAAGUCAUUUACAGUUAUAAAAGUCUCGGACUUGUUUAAGAGUCCUUCCCCAAACGAAUUUUCAAGUGGAUCACUAAAUUAAUAAAGCAUUUUCAUUACUUAACAUGCAGGUGGAGAGUUCUAUAUCAGUGUUUUCAUGUUAAGCAAAUGAGGGAAUAUUUUGUGAAAACUGAGUAGCAAUCAGUAGAAUAAAUAAUGAAUCAUUUGCUUGAUAGUUAGUUAAACUAUUAAGAAGUAUGAAUAUUUUCUAUAUUUUACAAUGUCUGCUUGCUUAAUUAAAUAUUUUCUGUGUAUCUGUGCAUACCGCAUGAUUUGACAAUAAAGAAUAGAUAAGACAGUCA
Long non-coding RNA from Limulus polyphemus (Atlantic horseshoe crab), 574 nucleotides. RefSeq lists it as uncharacterized. The transcript has 2 exons. NCBI's taxonomy places the organism in Eukaryota, Metazoa, Arthropoda, Merostomata, Xiphosura, Limulidae. The record is from RefSeq and is a predicted model, not a curated record.